UCCCAAAUAGUCUAGGCGCUUGGAUACGUUGGUUUUACCCACGCGACCCGGGUUCGAGUCCCGGUUUGGGAA
RNAcentral lists this transfer RNA (72 nucleotides) under Phytophthora infestans (potato late blight agent). RNAcentral describes it as "tRNA-Lys". It matches the Rfam family "tRNA". From Rfam's summary of the family: Transfer RNA (tRNA) molecules are approximately 80 nucleotides in length. Their secondary structure includes four short double-helical elements and three loops (D, anti-codon, and T loops). The record is from RNAcentral. Lineage: Eukaryota; Oomycota; Peronosporomycetes; Peronosporales; Peronosporaceae.